AUGCAUCUUAUUUCUGGGCCCAGGUGCAUGUCUUAUGCUGAUAAAAAAAAACAAAACAAAAGAGUGGGGAGACCAGGAGACUUGAGUGUCUCAGAAAACCCCUCUUCUUGGUUCCUUCCAGGUAAAAUGAGUGAGUCAGGCCACACGCUUCCCAAAGCCUCUGCCAGCGCUGCCAUCCACAGGGCUGCCAUAUUGGAUGCAGUUCAUGACAAAGGAUUUGCUACUUUUUGUUCUCUCUGGCUCUCCUCCUGCCUUCCCUUCAGCUUGCUCCAAGAUCAUGUGGGCUUCAAGGGCCAGGGUCCCAGCAUAAUUGGCUUCCAACAGGCAAGUCUUCCAGAAGCUUGCAGCCCCAACAGUGCCUGCUGUGGACGUGGAGGCAGAUCUCAACAGGCCGAUGAGCAGGCAGGCCGGGCACCAGCCACAGGGAAGAACCUCAGGCCAGCUGCCAAGUUUCAGCCAGGAGGGAACAUCGCUGGAGUUUAUAACCCUGCACAAGAGGCAGCCGGUAGGGAAAGCUCCACCACGCCCUUAAUACCACCGCAUGACUCGUGAGCACCUUGCUGUUAAUUAACAGCAGUAAAUACCACGGUUAUUUCAUUUUGCCUACCACUCUCUCGGGUAGCAACGUGGGGACACCCAGCCGCGAAGCACAGGGUCUCGUGUAUUAUCUUGACAGCGUUCUGCAGGGCUUGCCAAGUGGGGGCUCCAGCCGUUCGGAUGGCUCGCUCAUCCGGGGGCAAAAGGAGUCCCCUUUUUGCUGCCCACACUCUAGCGCCACACGCAGGGUAUGUGGCCAUGACGUCUCUGGAAAGUUCAAGUUGGAACCUGCUGGGUGUUCUUGAACACUCCAGCAAGUGCUUAUUUGAUAUAAACAAGUCUCCAAUCGUCUGCGGGCCUCUCUGCUUCCUGAGAGGCCUCCCGAAUGAUGGGUGGCUCUCACCCGCGGUUGACAUGUGGUCUUUCCCAGGGCCCACAGCUUGGAAGGUCUCACUCAGGGAGCAGUCCCCACCUUUCCACCAAAACUUUAUCUUCCCCAUGGAGAUGUGUCCUCCUGGGAUGUUCAAACCGGACGUAGCCCGUAGCAGUCUUUUUGCAUUUUUUUUUAAAUUCCCCAAAACCCUGUAUCGAGGACUUCUUCAUGCCAGACACUGGAGAGAGAAAGAUAGACGGGAAGGGAUCCUGGCCUUGAGGAACUCAUGGUCAAGCAAAGUAGAUGGAUGAGUAACAAGUUCAACCGCAGUGUUCCAUCAUACACGCCGUGACGGCCGAGGUUCGGGGUGCUACAGUCAUCCAUGGGGAAAGCACCCUUUUAGGGGGUGAGAGAUGAAAUGAAAUUUAAGUGUUGAAGGCUGAAGAGGAGUUUUACGGGGAAGAGUGCCAAGUGCACCACCAAGUACAAAGAUCUCAAGGUAUAGGAGAGCCACGCAUGUUCCCUGGAGGGAGCCCAAGUUCAUGGUCAUUGCUUAUCUCAGAGGGGUCGCAUCUCGUGAACAUCUCUGAUGUUCUGAUUCUUGCUUCCCUGCACAUUUUCAGCACUUGCUGGUAUGUUUGUGUUAGCAGGCUAGGCCUGCUUAAAACAUCACACUGCAACAAGGUUGAGCUUCUUUUAUGUUUUGUUUCCUCCUUCUCCUCGCCUCCAAAUAUGGGGCUCAAUCUCCAGUCGUUUCAGAUAUGUAGCCUUUAAAGGUAAUGGGUUCAAAUCCUUCCCUUUCAUAAUUUACCCCGAUUCCCCCUUGUCAACUGAGGCCUGGAAACUGGGAAGUAAAGGAGAUCCAUUGCCUUUUCUCCAGCUCACAAGUCAUUUCCCUCCAUCCAUGCUUUGCAGGACAAUUGUCUAGGCGGCCCAGCGGAUGUGUCUCCUAUUUUGUGGGUCUCCAAUGAUAACCAUUGCCUUAUGGCUCAUCUCCACGUCCUGUGGGCACUGUGGGUACCCUCAGUGAGGUCCACAUGACAGGCAUGAGGGAGGAUGGGGACAUUUCCUGGUACGACGAGCCUUUGGGUUGCUGAAGUUCCAUGAAGUGUGGAAUUCAUCCACAGUCAUUCUCUCACUCACCCACUGGGAACCAAUCAAAGGGCCAGGUGCUGGGGUUGCCACACUGGACCAAGCAAAUGGUACCUGCCUCUGUGAACCUUACACUCACAGUAUCCUGAUUCAGAGUGCUCCUGUGGUGGCGCCUAGUGAAGCUCAGAUCUGGGGAUCUGGGUGCCCUAGUACCCAGCCACCUUCCAAGAAGGGCACUGCCCAUGGGAAAAUGGCCUAUCCCUUUUGGGAUGGGACCAAGAAACCACCAUGAACGUGGAGCAGCCACAGCUCCCAGCAAGGGUCAAGGUAGCCCCUGAAACAUCACACGGAUGUUGAGAAGAAGAUGCUCUGGGGUGAGAGCGGGGGUGGCUGGUGCUUUGGACGUUCAGCUUUAGAGUGAGUAUUUCAUUUAUGCAAGAGAUGUGGAAAUCUGAGAAGCAUCUGGUUCCUCCAUGGAGAAAAAGCAUUUCACAUGUCUAAACUCAGUCUCCUUCACCCACUGGCUUUGAAAGUGCAGACGUCUAAGCCCUGAUCGUCGUUUCUGGAAAGGAGCACGUGAUGUGAACAAGCAUCUCUCUAGCAGACUGGCAGACCCCGUCCAGGCUGGGGCUCUGAGCCUGUGGCUGUUGCCUCCAGUGUCUGCCCCAGAACAAGCCCCUCUACUCGGGCAGGGGUGUCUGUCUGUUUCGCUCCUGCCACACCCCCAGUGCCCAGCAUGGUGCCUGCGACGUCGUGAGGGAUCAGUACAUUUUUGUGGAAUGAGUGGUUCAAGGCUCAUUUGGACCCAGACACAACCACCCAGCUGCCAACACCUUGUGAAAAGGAAGGCGAGGUGCUUGUUCUCCUUUGGCUUAAUAACAGUCUGCAGGAACUGUUGUCUUUUAUAUGCCUGCUUAGCUCAUUGUGAAGGCCCCGUAAAUAUUAAUUGAUGGACAAGAAGCUCUGGGGUUUGGCUCCAGACAGAUCCGAGUCCUAUUUUUUUGGAGGACGUUUAUAAGGGCAGGGGAUGUGGGGCCGUACGUUAUGAGUCUGGGGAGACUCCCAGGACCCUGUCCUUCCCCUCCCAAAGCCGAAGCCUGGGAGAAGUGGGCGGACCCAGAGGGAAGCACCUAAUUACAUUCACAGGUUAUAUAAUUACACUUUCAGGUUCCCACCGGUGGUGGGUUUGAAAGGCGCUUUGAGUAAUUUCAUUUCAUCAAGGCUUUGUUUUCCUAGGCUUUGUUUCCCUCACUCUUUAUUCUCCGUCCUUGGUCUCGAGCUGGUGCCUUCCAGGAAAAGCCAGCUGAUGCUAUGUUGCCUAGGUGAGCCCCUCAACGGACUUCCCGUCUACACACAACACAGCGGAGAUCUGGAGGAACAGUCUCGCCCAGGGUUUAGCAACAGGAUCAAAGGCUCUGAAUUCAGCCCCUGCUUCUCUGCCUCCCCAAGUACCAUUCAUGGUUCAUGGACAUGGUUCACAGUCCAUUCCCGUGAGGGUUGGCAUGGUCUUGUCCCCAGACCGGCAGCCUCAGCAUCACCCAAGAGGCUGCUAGAAACACAAAUUUGUGGGGUCCCCCCGCCCAGAACUCCCAGACACUCCAGGGUGAGGCCCAGCAAUCUGUGUUUUAACAAGCCCUCUAGGGGAUUCUAAUGCAUAUGUUCCUGUUUGGAAAUCACUGCUCUAGACUCAAGAGUCUAAAAGGAUGAUUCCCAGGCUUGAGGGACUGUUUACAACAUUCGGCCAAGCAUCCCAGGACCUAGUAAAUGAGAAUCCCCUAGAGUGGAGGCCCAGCAUCAGGUUCCCGUUUAGUUCUUUGCAGCCCCAUGGGGGUUCCAAGGAUGCACGGUCCUGGCCAAGGGCCCCCGGUCCAGUGUGACGUUCCUUGCAUCGGGCAUGUGCUGUGGCUGUGCCCGGGAGCCAAACGCCGCAGAAGAGGCAGCAGUAGGAGCAAAGAUGUGGGCCUCGAAGAACUGGCCCAAGAACGCAACCAGCUCCUGCACGUUGCCCCCACUUUACCCCAGGUCCCAACUGCAGCUGGUGACGCUGCCUCUGAACCUGCAGAGGCUGUGACUCCGGGACCUGUUUGGGAAGGCAUCAUGUCACGCUUUCACGAGGAACCGAAAUGGCUCUGUGACACCUCAGUUCGGGGAGAGAAGCCUGUGUUGGGAUGGUUUUCCAACUUUAGACGUAGAUCUCAACCCCUGCAUGCACAGUUAAAUCUCUUCCAGACUUUUUUGUUUUGUUUUGUUACAUUUUUUAAAAACCUGAUGCCUGGACCCCACUCCCCGAAACUUGGAUUCAAUUGAUCUGAGGGAGAGUGUAAGCUUUUCUUUUCCAAACUCCCUUUGGAUUCCAGUGCGCGGCUAGAAUUGGGAACCACUGCUUUAGAUAUUCACUGAAUAAGGAACUACCCACCCAUCACGUGCUCAGAUCUUUAAAAUAUCAGAGCAUUUAAGUUCUUCCCGUAGCCACCCUCACCCCAGUGGAGCCUUGAGAAUGAACGCAGCCUCCGAGAGAUGCAGAGGCAGACGCUAAGGGGAGCCUUGAUUCCUGACCCACAGAAAGUAUGAGACAAUUUAAACCACUGUGUUUGGGAGUUCCCACUGUGGUGCAAUCCGAAUCCGACUAGUAUCCAUGAGGAUGCGAGUUCAAUCCCUGGCCUCACUCAGUGGGUUAAGGAUCCGGCAUUGCCAUGAGCUGUGGUGUAGGCCGGCUGCUCUAGGUCCAAUUGGACCUCUAGCCUGGGAACUUCCAUAUGCCUUGGGUGUGGACCUAACCCCCCCAAAUAUAUAUAUAUAUAUAAAUAAAGAAAUGAAUAAAUAAAGCUCUGUGUUUGUUACACAGCAGUAGAUAGCCGAUACAGUUUCAGUGCUGCUUAAGCUGGUUCAGAGAUUUUUCCUGAAUGUCUCAUCUUUUUAUUUAAAAAAAAAAAACCCACUUUAUUGAGGUAUGAUUGACAUACAGAGAGCUGUACACAUUGAAUGUAUAGCACUUAAUAAAUUUGAACAUCAGUAUAUCGUCACGAAACCAUCCCCAUAGCUUAUGCCGUGGUCAGAUUCAUUUUUUCCAAAAGUUUACUCCCCCCUCUUUAUUUUAUUACUAUUGUUGUUCUUGUUGUUGUUGUUGUCGUUGUAUGAGAGCAAAAAACAUAAGAUCUACUGUGUGCAAAAUUGUGAGUAUAUUAUACAGCCUUGUUAAUUAUAGGCCCUGUGCCGGGCAGCAGGAGAGUGCUAGAAUUCACUCAUGUUAUAGAACUGAAACCUUGCCCCCUUCGACUAACACCUCUCCUUCCCCCCUCCCUGCAGACCUGGCAAGGACAACCCUAAUUUCUGCCCCGAUAGGUUUGAUUGUUUUAUUUACUUAUUUGUUUGCUUAUUAUUUUUGAGUAUCUUUUUUCAGUGGCCUGGGAACCUCUGUAUGCUGUGGGUGUGGCCCUAGAAAAGAUAGAAAGACAAAACAAACAAACAAACAAACAAAAACGUAAGCAUGUCUGUGAAUGGAGCUGGAGAACAAAGUACUGACCUGAGUAAACUUGCAAAUGAGUGGAGUUGGCAAGAUUAAAGGCAUAGGCGUUAACAAUUCUGAAAUCAUUAUACACACAAGCCAGAACUGGACAAUUAAGUACAUGGAUGGAUCCCAAGGAACUUCUUAAGAACUUUAUUCCUUAAAAGCAGUCAUUUACCUGUUUCAGAAGUCAAAACACUCUAAAAAAAUCUCUGUCCUGUCCAUGUCCCCAGAUAUUCCAUCAGCCCCUUCUUCCCAGAGUUACUACCUUUACUAUUUUCCUGUAUGUUUUUCCACUGUUUCUUUAUGUAAAUACAAACAAGGUGUUUCUCCCCUUCUUCCUGUACAAACAGCGGUAUCUAGAAAUAUUGUUUUGUCUGUUGCUCUUUUUGUCUUUCUGUAUAUCCUAGAGGUCUUUCUAUAUCAGCUGCAGAGAGAUCUUUCUCUUUCUUUUUGAACAGAGGCAUAGUAUUGUAGGUUGAGGUUGGACCAGCGUUUAUUCAAUGAGUCUCCUGUAGAUAAACAUUUGGGUUAUCUCCCAUCUUUGCUAUUAAAAAUUAUGCUGUCUAGUA
This 6079-nucleotide long non-coding RNA is filed under the name Sus scrofa (pig). RNAcentral describes it as "lncRNA (ENSSSCG00025060384.1)". The record is from RNAcentral. Lineage: Eukaryota; Metazoa; Chordata; Mammalia; Artiodactyla; Suidae.